This 73-nucleotide transfer RNA is filed under the name Candidatus Curtissbacteria bacterium. RNAcentral's name for it is "tRNA-Ala". It matches the Rfam family "tRNA". Rfam says of the family: Transfer RNA (tRNA) molecules are approximately 80 nucleotides in length. Their secondary structure includes four short double-helical elements and three loops (D, anti-codon, and T loops). Lineage: Bacteria; Candidatus Curtissiibacteriota. The record is from RNAcentral.
GGGCCCAUAGCUCAGUUGGUAGAGCGCUCCCAUGGCAUGGGAGAGGUCAGGAGUUCGAGUCUCCUUGGGUCCA